CAUGUAAAUAAGCUAGCUCCACAAGUUCCCAAGCGCUUGCUCCCCUGGUAGUACACACACCAGCUAGCUCGAUAGCCCAAACAGCUCUGCCUUUCCAUCCUUCUCCAGCUAGAGCUUUCUAGGGUUUACACAGAAGCUAGCAGUUCUGACCCGUCGCCGUCCGGUCUCCUUCGAUCUAUCCGUCGUCCUGGUCGGCUGAAUUCCGGCGCUUCACGGUGGCGUUCGAGCUUCGCUUGACGCAAGGACUACACCCCGUUUGGUUCAGCUUGCUGCAGGGCCCCCGGGGGGGGGGGGGGGGGGGCUGGUUGAACUCAUCGAUCUGAGGGAGGGAGUCUACAAUCUUGCUCAUGCUAGCUUGUAUGAUCAUGAGCGGAGGCCCAAGAUGAUAAGCGGCAACCACACAAAUGAGGAGCAGCUGGGCAGGUGCGCGAAGGCCGAGAUGCCGCCCGCAGGCGCGGGGGCCGCCAAGGGCGCCGCGGCGAACUCGCGGCACUGGCCGCCGUCCACGGAGUCGAGGAUCGUGCGCGUCUCGCGGGUGUUCGGCGGCAAGGACCGGCACAGCAAGGUGAGGACCGUCAAGGGGCUGCGCGACCGGCGCGUGCGGCUGUCCGUGCAGACGGCGAUCCAGCUCUACGACCUCCAGGACCGGCUGGGGCUGAGCCAGCCGAGCAAAGUGGUGGACUGGCUGCUCGACGCCGCGCAGCACGAGAUCGACAAGCUGCCGCCGCUCCAGUUCGCGAUGCAAGCGCAGGACCUCGUCGCCCACCUGCCCUCCUCCAUGUUGACGCCGUUCGCGAACGGCGCCGCCGCCGCCACGAACACGGCGACGGCCGUGUCGUCCGCGCUGGACUGCGACAAGAGCAGCAUCAAAGGGUUCGUGGGCCUGAACAAUUCCGUCGGCCUCGUCAAUGGCGCCAUGCCGCUGGCUCACGGUAUGUACUACACGGGCGGUGAAUCUUGGACGAGUGGCCAUGUCCAUGAUCAGGUGAACCACGGCACUUCGCCUCAAACGGUGGCUCACCAUCACCACUCGCCGUUCUCAUCGCUGCUGUCUCUGGCUCCGGGGCCUCAGCUCGUCUUCUACUCACCGGAAGGUGGCGGCUUUGCCAUGAAAGAAGCCGCCGAUCAGUUCCCUGUAGAUAACCUCGACCAUUCGCAAGGCCAGCUCUCACUGAGCUCAGCAAGAAGCUUCCUUCAUUCGGGAAACCAGGGAUGAUGCUUAGAUCAUCGAUCGAUCUCUGCUCCAAGAAGAUGAAGGUAGCAGCCCAAGGAUAAAUGCCUUUUGCCGUGACCACCAGCACUGUCAACGCAUGCACUGUAAAUCUAUUCCCUCUCCUGGUCUGCAUGAAGCCGCAUGCGUCAUCCACGUACGCGGAAAAUGUAUGUAGCAGCAAGAAUGUGGCACGGAAAACGCAUUCUGUAUGUGCCUGGGCGGGACCAAUCUACAGCUACUGGAAAAGAUCAACCGCAUGCAUGCAAUGCAUGAGCUAAAGAUCGAUGACAUCUGAAUUCUGACGUGAACAGCUGGUUACAUAUGUACCACAGGCGACCAAGGCUUCUUUCAGCUAAAUUACCGCUUCUUUUUACUAGAUAUCCAGCAGUGUACAGUACAAACGUUUCACUCGUGCUAGUACUAAUAAUAAGGUCAAAUCAACCCAGCAGCUGCGCUUCACAGCUUUGCAAAAGAAAACACAACACCUAGCCAG
Phragmites australis (common reed) is the source of this 1706-nucleotide RNA transcript. It is a transcript of the gene named transcription factor TCP13-like, with no coding region annotated. The transcript is spliced from 4 exons. The record is from RefSeq and is a predicted model, not a curated record. Lineage: Eukaryota; Viridiplantae; Streptophyta; Magnoliopsida; Poales; Poaceae.